Molecule: ribosomal RNA, 460 nt
Filed under: uncultured bacterium
Lineage: Bacteria
Description: partial 16S ribosomal RNA
Rfam family: Bacterial small subunit ribosomal RNA
Source: RNAcentral
CCUACGGGAGGCAGCAGUGAGGAAUAUUGGUCAAUGGACGAGAGUCUGAACCAGCCAAGUAGCGUGAAGGAUGACUGCCCUAUGGGUUGUAAACUUCUUUUAUAAAGGAAUAAAACGAGGCACGUGUGCCUUUUUGCAUGUACUUUAUGAAUAAGGAUUGGCUAACUCCGUGCCAGCAGCCGCGGUAAUACGGAGGAUCCGAGCGUUAUCCGGAUUUAUUGGGUUUAAAGGGAGCGUAGAUGGGUUGUUAAGUCAGUUGUGAAAGUUUGCGGCUUAACCGUAAAAUUGCAAUUGAUACUGGCAGUCUUGAGUACAGUUGAGGUAGGCGGAAUUCGUGGUGUAGCGGUGAAAUGCUUAGAUAUCACGAAGAACCCCGAUUGCGAAGGCAGCUUACUAAACUGUGACUGACAUUGAUGCUCGAAAGUGUGGGUAGCAAACAGGAUUAGAUACCCUUGUAGUC